Molecule: non-coding RNA, 71 nt
Organism: Cladochytrium replicatum
Lineage: Eukaryota; Fungi; Chytridiomycota; Chytridiomycetes; Cladochytriales; Cladochytriaceae
Source: the annotation of a GenBank genome assembly
GCAAAGGUGGUCCAGUGGUAGAAUUGCCGCCUGCCACGCGGCAGACCCGGGUUCGAUUCCCGGCCUGUGCA